This 497-nucleotide ribosomal RNA is filed under the name uncultured bacterium. RNAcentral describes it as "partial 16S ribosomal RNA". It matches the Rfam family "Bacterial small subunit ribosomal RNA", at positions 28 to 507 of the family's 1533-position model. The record is from RNAcentral.
GAUGAACGCUGGCGGCGUGCCUAAUACAUGCAAGUCGAGCGAACGGACGAGGAGCUUGCUUCUCUGAUGUUAGCGGCGGACGGGUGAGUAACACGUGGAUAACCUACCUAUAAGACUGGGAUAACUUCGGGAAACCGGAGCUAAUACCGGAUAAUAUUUUGAACCGCAUGGUUCAAAAGUGAAAGACGGUCUUGCUGUCACUUAUAGAUGGAUCCGCGCUGCAUUAGCUAGUUGGUAAGGUAACGGCUUACCAAGGCAACGAUGCAUAGCCGACCUGAGAGGGUGAUCGGCCACACUGGAACUGAGACACGGUCCAGACUCCUACGGGAGGCAGCAGUAGGGAAUCUUCCGCAAAGGGCGAAAGCCUGACGGAGCAACGCCGCGUGAGUGAUGAAGGUCUUCGGAUCGUAAAACUCUGUUAUUAGGGAAGAACAUAUGUGUAAGUAACUGUGCACAUCUUGACGGUACCUAAUCAGAAAGCCACGGCUAACUACGUG